UACGGGGGGGGCAAGCGUUGUUCGGAAUUACUGGGCGUAAAGGGUUCGUAGGUGGCUUGCUAAGUCAGACGUGAAAUCCCUCAGCUUAACUGGGGAACUGCGUCUGAUACUGGCGAGCUUGAGUGCAGGAGAGGAACGCAGAAUUCCAGGCGUAGCGGUGAAAUGCGUAGAUAUCUGGAGGAAUACCGGUGGCGAAGGCGGCGUUCUGGACUGCAACUGACACUGAUGAACGAAAGCCAGGGGAGCAAACGGG
RNAcentral lists this ribosomal RNA (253 nucleotides) under uncultured bacterium. RNAcentral's name for it is "partial 16S ribosomal RNA". It matches the Rfam family "Bacterial small subunit ribosomal RNA", at positions 524 to 776 of the family's 1533-position model. The record is from RNAcentral.